Molecule: ribosomal RNA, 253 nt
Filed under: uncultured bacterium
Lineage: Bacteria
Description: partial 16S ribosomal RNA
Rfam family: Bacterial small subunit ribosomal RNA
Source: RNAcentral
UACGGGGGGGGCAAGCGUUGUUCGGAAUUACUGGGCGUAAAGGGCGCGUAGGCGGCCUACUAAGUCAGACGUGAAAUCCCUCAGCUUAACUGGGGAACUGCGUCUGAGACUGGAUGGCUUGAGUGCAGGAGAGGAACGCGGAAUUCCAGGUGUAGCGGUGAAAUGCGUAGAUAUCUGGAGGAACACCGGUGGCGAAGGCGGCUCUCUGGGACGUGACUGACGCUGAGACGCGAAAGCGUGGGGAGCGAACAGG